This 521-nucleotide long non-coding RNA is filed under the name Setaria viridis. Its description in RNAcentral is "long non-coding RNA (SVIR_LNC001977)". The record is from RNAcentral. Lineage: Eukaryota; Viridiplantae; Streptophyta; Magnoliopsida; Poales; Poaceae.
AUCAAUCCGUGGAACUUAUAGUACAAGAUCUAUUUCAACUAGCAUUGUUAAUAUUAACUUAGUGUUUAUGAGAGAUUCAGUUCCAAUCUACUAAGCAUAUACAGACAGAUAACAGAUAGAGUCGAGAUAAUCAAUUUAGAGUAAUCUAGACUAUACAUAUGUUGUAAUCUGAGCAUGGAUAGAAAAGCAACACAGAUAUGAUCUUAGUAAAAAGCAUAUUUAAAUCUACACCUCCGGUCCGGCUCCCGAAACCUCCCCACAGAUCCUAUCACGAUCACCUCUAUCAGCGCAAGCAAGUUAAGGACACGAUCAAAAGAACAUGUUAUACUCAUUGGUAGAUCAGGCAUGCAAAUCCGGUCACCACGACCACAAGAACACCCUAAGCAAUCUAUCAUCGAUUCAUAGGUUGAAAAGUAAGCAAACCCGAAAGAGCAUAAAACCAUAUAAGGAAAUACUUAGAUCGUUAAGAACAUGAACACAUCUAUUACUUCAUCAUGAAUGAUUGUACAUCACAAGAUCAC